UACGUAGGGUGCGAGCGUUGUCCGGAAUUAUUGGGCGUAAAGAGCUUGUAGGCGGUCCGUCGCGUCGGAAGUGAAAACUCAGGGCUCAACCCUGAGCCUGCUUUCGAUACGGGCAGACUUGAGGGAUGUAGGGGAGAACGGAAUUCCUGGUGGAGCGGUGGAAUGCGCAGAUAUCAGGAGGAACACCAGUGGCGAAGGCGGUUCUCUGGACAUUUCCUGACGCUGAGAAGCGAAAGCGUGGGGAGCAAACAGG
This 253-nucleotide ribosomal RNA is filed under the name uncultured bacterium. Its description in RNAcentral is "partial 16S ribosomal RNA". It matches the Rfam family "Bacterial small subunit ribosomal RNA", at positions 524 to 776 of the family's 1533-position model. The record is from RNAcentral.